Molecule: long non-coding RNA, 915 nt
Filed under: Zonotrichia albicollis (white-throated sparrow)
Lineage: Eukaryota; Metazoa; Chordata; Aves; Passeriformes; Passerellidae
Description: lncRNA (ENSZALG00000000192.1)
Source: RNAcentral
CUCUCUGUUAUCAGAACUUCACAGGAAAACUGUUGGUUUUCACCCUUCUGAGGAAAUCUUUUCCACUUAAGCUCAUGACUCUCCUUUGCCUCUUUUAAUCUUGGCAGAAAGUCCUCCCCAACCUGAAGCUUAAACAUGCUUGGAGAUGUCUGCAGGAAUACUUGAGUGUUAUUCUGACAGCGUAAAAAAAACAAGGAAAGACUUCUGUGGACACUCAUAACUGCUCCAUUGAACCAAGGCAGCUGCUGAAGACAGCACUUGGCCUGGACAUAUCUGCUGAUGCUCAUGGUGUGUCUGUGGUCUGCGUGUCUGUGUGUCUGCCCCACCCCACAGAGCCCCAGCGCCAGACAGAAACUUCUGAUUGCUUUUGAUGGCCUUGACUGCCUGACCAUACAAGCAUCACAGAUCCGCAACACUGGAAUCUCUGAGAGCUGCUGGACCAGAAAUUUUAUCUAUUAACUAAUUGGAAGUGCCUUAGAUGUGAGAAGCAGUGUUUGACAUUCUGUGUGUGUGUUCAGGUUUUUAAUUUGAUCCUCAUUAAUCGUUACUGUUUCCAUGUAGCUCACACUCACACACUGGUUAUUUCAUCUUCCAUAAAUCCCUGAGAUAUGGAGGGGGUGGUCAGUGCUGUGUAACAGGCUAUUCCAGAUAAGAACUAUUUUGUACCAGGUGAAAUUUAUCUGAAGUCAGUGCAGAGAGCAGCAGAGGAAAAGUGAUAAAAAUGCAUAUUCAGUGUUGCUAGUGUAGUGGAGGUGUAACUACUUUCACCUCAGGAAUAUGAAAGCUCUUGGAGCAUCUUUUGAAUGUUAAUUCUUAUACCAUUGUUUUCAGAGAUCUAUUUUACCUAUUUAUCAGAGUGAAGAAGUAUCUUUAUUUUCCUCUCUGCAGCUGCCACAACAUAGAGUAGGAGCAGGC